Molecule: ribosomal RNA, 470 nt
Filed under: uncultured organism
Description: partial 16S ribosomal RNA
Rfam family: Bacterial small subunit ribosomal RNA
Source: RNAcentral
CACUCCUGCGGGAGGCAGCAGUGGGGAAUUUUGGACAAUGGGCGAAAGCCUGAUCCAGCAAUGCCGCGUGAGUGAAGAAGGCCUUCGGGUUGUAAAGCUCUUUUGUCAGGGAAGAAACGGUGAGAGCUAAUAUCUCUUGCUAAUGACGGUACCUGAAGAAUAAGCACCGGCUAACUACGUGCCAGCAGCCGCGGUAAUACGUAGGGUGCAAGCGUUAAUCGGAAUUACUGGGCGUAAAGCGUGCGCAGGCGGUUUUGUAAGUCUGAUGUGAAAUCCCCGGGCUCAACCUGGGAAUUGCAUUGGAGACUGCAAGGCUAGAAUCUGGCAGAGGGGGGUAGAAUUCCACGUGUAGCAGUGAAAUGCGUAGAUAUGUGGAGGAACACCGAUGGCGAAGGCAGCCCCCUGGGUCAAGAUUGACGCUCAUGCACGAAAGCGUGGGGAGCAAACAGGAUUAGAAACCCCUGUAGUCC